This 482-nucleotide ribosomal RNA is filed under the name uncultured bacterium. RNAcentral's name for it is "bacterial SSU rRNA". It matches the Rfam family "Bacterial small subunit ribosomal RNA", at positions 28 to 514 of the family's 1533-position model. The record is from RNAcentral.
GACGAACGCUGGCGGCGUGCCUAACACAUGCAAGUCGAGCGGAGAUACAUUGAAGAGCAAUCAGAUAUGUAUCUUAGCGGCGGACGGGUGAGUAACGCAUGGGCAACCUGCCUCAUACUGGGGGAUAACACAGGGAAACUUGUGCUAAUACCGCAUAAUAUCAUUAUAGGGCAUCCUGUGAUGAUCAAAGGAGCGAUCCGGUGUGAGAUGGGCCCGCGUCCAAUUAGCUAGUUGGUGGGGUAACGGCCCACCAAGGCGACGAUUGGUAGCCGAACUGAGAGGUUGAUCGGCCACAUUGGGACUGAGACACGGCCCAGACUCCUACGGGAGCAGCAGUGGGGAAUAUUGCGCAAUGGGGGAAACCCUGACGCAGCAACGCCGCGUGAAGGAUGAAGGUCUUCGGAUUGUAAACUUCUUUGAUGAGGGACGAACACAAUGACGGUACCUACAAAAACAGACCACGGCUAACUACGUGCCAGCAC